Molecule: ribosomal RNA, 405 nt
Filed under: uncultured cyanobacterium
Lineage: Bacteria; Bacillati; Cyanobacteriota
Description: partial 16S ribosomal RNA
Rfam family: Bacterial small subunit ribosomal RNA
Source: RNAcentral
UGGGGAAUUUUCCGCAAUGGGCGAAAGCCUGACGGAGCAAUACCGCGUGAGGGAGGAAGGCUCUUGGGUCGUAAACCUCUUUUCUCAGGGAAGAAGAAAGUGACGGUACCUGAGGAAUAAGCAUCGGCUAACUCCGUGCCAGCAGCCGCGGUAAUACGGAGGAUGCAAGCGUUAUCCGGAAUGAUUGGGCGUAAAGGGUCUGUAGGUGGUGCUGUAAGUCUGCUGUUAAAGAGUCACGCUCAACGUGAUAAGAGCAGUGGAAACUACAGGACUAGAGUGCGUUCGGGGCAGAAGGAAUUCCUGGUGUAGCGGUGAAAUGCGUAGAUAUCAGGAAGAACACCGGUGGCGAAAGCGUUCUGCUAGGCCGCAACUGACACUGAGGGACGAAAGCUAGGGGAGCGAAUG